This 439-nucleotide ribosomal RNA is filed under the name uncultured bacterium. RNAcentral's name for it is "partial 16S ribosomal RNA". It matches the Rfam family "Bacterial small subunit ribosomal RNA", at positions 339 to 795 of the family's 1533-position model. The record is from RNAcentral.
CUACGGGACGCUGCAGUGAGGAAUAUUGCACAAUGGGGGGAACCCUGAUGCAGCAACGCCGCGUGGAGGAUGGCGCAUUUCGGUGUGUAAACUCCUUUUAUAUGUCAAGAAAAUGACGGUAGCAUAUGAAUAAGCACCGGCUAACUCCGUGCCAGCAGCCGCGGUAAUACGGAGGGUGCAAGCGUUACUCGGAAUCACUGGGUGUAAAGGACGCGUAGGCGGGUUGGAAAGUCAGGUGUGAAAUCCUACAGCUUAACUGUAGAACUGCACUUGAAACUUCUAAUCUAGAGUAUGGGAGGGGGAGACGGAAUUAGUGGUGUAGGGGUAAAAUCCGUAGAUAUCACUAGGAAUACCUAAAGCGAAGGCGAUCUCCUGGAACAUUACUGACGCUAAGGCGUGAAAGCGUGGGGAGCAAACAGGAUUAGAUACCCCUGUAGUC